AACGAACGCUGGCGGCGUGCCUAACACAUGCAAGUCGUGCGAGAAAGUUCCUUCGGGAGCGAGUAAAGCGGCGCACGGGUGAGUAACACGUAGGUAACCUGCCCCCCAGUCUGGAACAACUAGAGGAAACUCUAGCUAAUGCCGGAUGAGACCACGAUCCCUUCGGGGGUUGCGGCCAAAGAUGGCCUCUACUUGUAAGCUAUCGCUGAGGGAUGGGCCUGCGGGCCAUUAGCUUGUUGGUGAGGUAACGGCUCACCAAGGCUGUGAUGGCUAGCUGGUCUGAGAGGAUGACCAGCCACACUGGGACUGAGACACGGCCCAGACUCCUACGGGAGGCAGCAGUGGGAAUAUUGCGCAAUGGCGUAAGCCUGACGCAGCAACGCCGCGUGGGUGAUGAAGGCC
RNAcentral lists this ribosomal RNA (402 nucleotides) under uncultured bacterium. RNAcentral's name for it is "bacterial SSU rRNA". It matches the Rfam family "Bacterial small subunit ribosomal RNA", at positions 29 to 416 of the family's 1533-position model. The record is from RNAcentral.